CCAAACUGUGCUCUUGUUUCAAAAUCUCAAACUUUAAUUUCAUUAGUGAAACACUUACAUCACUCAUCAACGCAUCUGUAGCUGUCAGGCGCUCAAGCGGAUCAAGAGCCAAAAGCCUAUCAACUAACGAAAGCGCCUCAGGAGAGAAAUCUUUAAAAGCCUCUCUUACUUUCCUCUUAUGCUGUGGUUUAGCCAUGUGAUUAGAAGGAAGCCUAAUCUUUCUCCAAUACUCUUCAGAAGGCGAUCCGCAUAACUUAUAUAUCCUAUGUAUCUGAUCAACCUGCGUCACAUUUUCACAUUAACACAUGAACAAACCAAACAAUCCUCAAAAACCUGAAAACAUCAAAAUACUAACCUCGUUACGACCUGCCAUAAUCGGUCUACCAGAUAACAACUCUGCUAAAAUUUCGGGGUGGAGCUGUAAUCUAGGACGGCGAGAAUCGCUCGAGCUACAUGACUAGCGGUGGAGCUGAAUCAGCAAAUUGAGAGAGAGCGGAGGUCUCUGGUGUAGCUUUGGUGGGGUUUAUGAAACCUACCGUGGUUCUUAAAUACACUCUAAUUUUAUUAACUAGAUUUUUUUAGUUAAUCAAUUUUUGUAGCACAAUGAAGCCAAUGGAGAAGGAGGUAAUGAUGGAUGUAAUAGCUGGAACUAUGGUUUUGAAGGGGAAACUGGUGAUGCUCUCACAUCAAGUCCUUACAUGUUUGACAAAUGAAGAAUUUUCAUUUAGCUUUGAUGAUUUCUCAGGUAAAACUGUUGCCAACAAAAACAUGAUAUUGUUGUUAACAAUCUUAUAUGAUAUCAGGGAACACCAAUGAUGCUAAUGGGAGACGAAUAAAGACACACCCGAUCGAUAUGGUAAUAACAAUAGCUACGGACAUGAUACGGCUCUCAACAAUUUCCACUGGAAAGAGGCAAGUCUUAACAUCUUGCUGUUGUUAUUGAUUCUCCCCUGAACUCUUGUACCAUGUCUUGUUGUUUCUUUUAAAAAAAUCCAGCUCGACGCAAAGAAGGAGAGCCAUUUCAGGUUCUUUUCAGAGUUGAUCAAGUUCUGACAUUCACGCCAUGUACUCAAGCACGAAAAUUUCCUCAGCAAAGGCGUGAUUACGUGGCAUGAAGAUAAUUGGGACAAUCCUGAGAGCAAGUUCCUAGCUUUCACGCUCCAUGAUGGUAUAAGCGGCCAAGACGUCUAUGCGGCUUUCAACGCCCAUGACUACUUUGUCAAGGCUCUUAUUCCACUGCCACCGUGGGGAAAGCAAAGCAAUGGUUCCGUGUGGUAAGUGUUUCUUUCUUUCAUCAUCUUUGGUGCUCUGACUUUUCAUGACCGACUCAAUUGUCAUGUUUGGCACUAGGCUGACACAAACCUCGAUCGAGUCACCGGAUGAUUUUGUAAAGGAAGGUGUGGCUGAGACAUACAAUGUGGCUCCAUUCUCUUCGAUCCUUCUCAAGUUCAUGUAAAGCAAAGCAUGCACAUCCUUCGUGAAAGAUCCAUAAGUGUUUAUUUGAUUAAUGUAUAUGUAAAAUUCUAAAAUAGACGACAUUUCCA
This is a long non-coding RNA of Brassica napus (rape), 1544 nucleotides long. RefSeq lists it as uncharacterized. The record is from RefSeq and is a predicted model, not a curated record. The transcript is spliced from 5 exons. NCBI's taxonomy places the organism in Eukaryota, Viridiplantae, Streptophyta, Magnoliopsida, Brassicales, Brassicaceae.